This 899-nucleotide unclassified non-coding RNA is filed under the name Hevea brasiliensis (rubber tree). Lineage: Eukaryota; Viridiplantae; Streptophyta; Magnoliopsida; Malpighiales; Euphorbiaceae. The record is from RNAcentral.
CUUUGUUGCAUUGCAUUUAAUAAAAUCAAUCAUGAAUGAACGCAUAUUAAAAAAAAAAAGAAGAAUUUACUUUAACAAAAAACCCUCUAAUUUUGCCUAGUCAACCAGCAGUCAACUGCGUCCAUCACUAGAAUCGGAAUUUUCCGACCCAGAAUCCAAACUCUGAUCCGAAUCCAAUGACACCGACCUAUCAGCCACAAUGACGAUAUUGUAAGAAAUAAUCCUCCUCCUCUGGCGCCGCCCGUCUUCACUUCCACCGUCACCAUCAUCCUCAGUACCAUCAUCCUCAGUACCAUCAUCUUCCGUAGGCAUCAUGAACCGACAAACGGGGCACGACCGAUGUAACCCUAGCCACUUCUCAAUACAACCCGAGUGAAACCCAUGUUUACACGGCAUCUCUCGAAUCACGCCGCCCACGCUCAUCUCGUCUAAACAAAUAGCGCAGUCCUUGACGCAAUCCUCCGUUACUGUUAUUCUGGGCAUGGCAUCAAUGGACGCCUUCGAUGCAGGCAAAGGUCCAGAUUUGUCGGAGACGGCGGCGGCAGGAACAUGGAUGAAGGAAAGGGAUUGGGUGGCGGCGUUGAGGACAACGACUUCUUGGUUUGUUUGUGAAGGCGGUUGUCGUUGCUCAGCCGCUUGUAGACCGAUGAUUAACAACGGCAGAUGGUCCACUCUGGCAAAGAUUUCGCCUAUGCUUGAUUCGCUACUAUCCAUGGCUAAAGCUUGAUCGAGAGAGAAAGAGAGAGAAGUUUUUUCUUGUGGAGGAGACAGAGAGUUUAUAUAAUAGGACAGAGUCGGCGGGCCUUGGAAUUUGCUGAGGCAAUCGCGUUUUGGUUUUCCCGGUGGAAACUGGAAAUUUAGCUUUGCCUUUGCCACGUCAUUCUAGGAAUAUCCAUUCA